Molecule: ribosomal RNA, 599 nt
Filed under: Micrococcus sp. BTDP2
Lineage: Bacteria; Bacillati; Actinomycetota; Actinomycetes; Micrococcales; Micrococcaceae
Description: bacterial SSU rRNA
Rfam family: Bacterial small subunit ribosomal RNA
Source: RNAcentral
UUGCUGGGUGGAUUAGUGGCGAACGGGUGAGUAACACGUGAGUAACCUGCCCUUAACUCUGGGAUAAGCCUGGGAAACUGGGUCUAAUACCGGAUAGGAGCGCCUACCGCAUGGUGGGUGUUGGAAAGAUUUAUCGGUUUUGGAUGGACUCGCGGCCUAUCAGCUUGUUGGUGAGGUAAUGGCUCACCAAGGCGACGACGGGUAGCCGGCCUGAGAGGGUGACCGGCCACACUGGGACUGAGACACGGCCCAGACUCCUACGGGAGGCAGCAGUGGGGAAUAUUGCACAAUGGGCGCAAGCCUGAUGCAGCGACGCCGCGUGAGGGAUGACGGCCUUCGGGUUGUAAACCUCUUUCAGUAGGGAAGAAGCGAAAGUGACGGUACCUGCAGAAGAAGCACCGGCUAACUACGUGCCAGCAGCCGCGGUAAUACGUAGGGUGCGAGCGUUAUCCGGAAUUAUUGGGCGUAAAGAGCUCGUAGGCGGUUUGUCGCGUCUGUCGUGAAAGUCCGGGGCUUAACCCCGGAUCUGCGGUGGGUACGGGCAGACUAGAGUGCAGUAGGGGAGACUGGAAUUCCUGGUGUAGCGGUGGAAUGCGCAG